CCUGGCGGCAAUAGCGCGGUGGUCCCACCUGACCCCAUGCCGAACUCAGAAGUGAAACGCCGUAGCGCCGAUGGUAGUGUGGGGUCUCCCCAUGUGAGAGUAGGACACUGCCAGGC
This 116-nucleotide ribosomal RNA is filed under the name Serratia marcescens. The record is from RNAcentral. RNAcentral also lists the same sequence under 1 other name. Lineage: Bacteria; Pseudomonadati; Pseudomonadota; Gammaproteobacteria; Enterobacterales; Yersiniaceae.